RNAcentral lists this ribosomal RNA (301 nucleotides) under uncultured bacterium. RNAcentral describes it as "partial 16S ribosomal RNA". It matches the Rfam family "Bacterial small subunit ribosomal RNA", at positions 509 to 807 of the family's 1533-position model. The record is from RNAcentral.
CAGCAGCCACGGUAAUACGGAGGGGGCUAGCGUUGUUCGGAAUUACUGGGCGUAAAGCGCACGUAGGCGGCUUGGUAAGUUAGAGGUGAGAGCCUGGAGCUCAACUCCAGAAUUGCCUUUAAGACUGCCGAGCUAGCAGGUGAGAGAGGUAAGUGGAAUUCCGAGUGUAGAGGUGAAAUUCGUAGAUAUUCGGAAGAACACCAGUGGCGAAGGCGGCUUACUGGCUCAUACUGGACGCUGAGGUGCGAAAGCGUGGGGAGCAAACAGGAUUAGAUACCCCAGUAGUCCCUGUCUCUUAUAC